GUACACUCCUGCGGGAGGCAGCAGUGGGGAAUUUUGGACAAUGGGCGAAAGCCUGAUCCAGCAAUGCCGCGUGAGUGAAGAAGGCCUUCGGGUUGUAAAGCUCUUUUGUCAGGGAAGAAACGGUGAAAGCUAAUAUCUUUUGCUAAUGACGGUACCUGAAGAAUAAGCACCGGCUAACUACGUGCCAGCAGCCGCGGUAAUACGUAGGGUGCAAGCGUUAAUCGGAAUUACUGGGCGUAAAGCGUGCGCAGGCGGUUUUGUAAGUCUGAUGUGAAAUCCCCGGGCUCGACCUGGGAAUUGCAGUGGAGACUGCAAGGCUAGAAUCUGGCAGAGGGGGGUAGAAUUCCACGUGUAGCAGUGAAAUGCGUAGAUAUGUGGAGGAACACCGAUGGCGAAGGCAGCCCCCUGGGUCAAGAUUGACGCUCAUGCACGAAAGCGUGGGGAGCAAACGGGAUUAGAAACCCCUGUAGUCCCA
This 475-nucleotide ribosomal RNA is filed under the name uncultured organism. RNAcentral describes it as "partial 16S ribosomal RNA". It matches the Rfam family "Bacterial small subunit ribosomal RNA", at positions 331 to 797 of the family's 1533-position model. The record is from RNAcentral.